GGGCCUUUAGCUCAAAAAGGAAAGAGCACACCCCUGAUAAGGGUGAGGUUUCUGGUUCAACUCCAGAAUGGCUCA
This 75-nucleotide transfer RNA is filed under the name Nephromyces sp. ex Molgula occidentalis. RNAcentral's name for it is "tRNA-Ile". It matches the Rfam family "tRNA". Rfam says of the family: Transfer RNA (tRNA) molecules are approximately 80 nucleotides in length. Their secondary structure includes four short double-helical elements and three loops (D, anti-codon, and T loops). Lineage: Eukaryota; Apicomplexa; Aconoidasida; Nephromycida. The record is from RNAcentral.